This 218-nucleotide long non-coding RNA is filed under the name Lathyrus oleraceus (garden pea). RNAcentral describes it as "Pisum sativum (pea) long non-coding RNA (PSAT_LNC033315)". The record is from RNAcentral. Lineage: Eukaryota; Viridiplantae; Streptophyta; Magnoliopsida; Fabales; Fabaceae.
AACUCCAACUUUAAUAACAAAAAAGAGAGUUGUAAUCAAUCCACUCAAUAUGCUUAAGAAUGCACAAUAACAAAAUUAGUCUUAUGACUUCAACAUAAACAUGUCAUAAAAUUAAAGUAAACGUUCCCAACCCGAUAUUAUAUAAUCAGAGUAAGACGCUGCUAAAGAAAAUGUUAAACUAAGAAGCAACUCCAAGAGCUAGCUUUCACUUACUUCCC